GAUGAGGCAGUUGGGAGGUGAACAUG
RNAcentral lists this non-coding RNA (26 nucleotides) under Cricetulus griseus (Chinese hamster). Lineage: Eukaryota; Metazoa; Chordata; Mammalia; Rodentia; Cricetidae. The record is from RNAcentral.